CUUGUACUCCUUCCGUCCGAAAAUACUUGUCAUUGAGAUGGAUGUAUCUAGAUGUAUUUUAGUUCUAGACACAUCCAUUUUGAUGAAAAUUAAUUCUGGACGGAGGGAGUACUUG
This is a non-coding RNA of Triticum aestivum (bread wheat), 115 nucleotides long. Lineage: Eukaryota; Viridiplantae; Streptophyta; Magnoliopsida; Poales; Poaceae. The record is from Rfam.